GAGUUACCAAACCUUAUCUCCAUUUUGAAAUCCCCAGACCUAAAGAAAACCAAACACGCACGUCAUCUUCUCCAUCUAUUCUCUGCUUUUCUUUGGAGAAACCCUAGAAAACCACUCAAACGCAUUACGCAUCUACAGACCCUGUAAUCUCUCCCUCUUUUUCUACCAUAAACAUCGAUCGGAACCGGGUUUGGCCGGAGCUCUGGCGACCUGUGUUUGCCGGCGAUGUCACACCACACACAAACCCCCCUCGUUUUCUUCGGUCAAAAAGACACCACCACCCGACGGUGGCGGUGAGCGGCGGUUGCGGAGAAAGAGAGAAUAGAUUGAGAGACAAGCAGACCAGAGAAGGAAGAGGGCUGCGACGGCAGUUGUGUCGCUCCGACGAGACUCAUCGGCGACCGCAGUUUUGCCGAUGAUAGUGAAGAUCUGUUGAUGAUGGUGCUGUCGGACGUAGCUGGGCGGAAAAACGAAGCCACUGGCGGCAGCCGGCAACGGUAAUGGUGGUGAUUUUAUAUUCAGUUGUUUUGAUUUUUGGCUCAGGUUUCGUUAUUCCAGUUUGGGUUCACGUCAGCAGGUUCCGGGUCAGAUUCAACAAGUUCGGGUUCGGUCAAAGCAGGUUAAAACUGGUCAAACACCAGUUUCAAGUGCUUCGGGUUAACUUUUGUUCAAACUUAGUACACAAUUCAGAUUAGCCGUUCGGGUUUUUACGGAUCAAGUCUCGGGUUUGGUCAGCAGGUCAACCGGUCAAACCCGGUCGAACCGAGUCGACUCGGUCAACACCCUAGUCAACUCGGGUCAACAACAGGUCAAGCAUGGUCAACAGUCAACAGUUCAGUUUCGGGUCAACCACAGUUCGGUUCAUGGUUCGGUUCUGAUUUGAGGAGAUUCGGGACAAAUCUGGUACGGAUUUCAGGUUCGGGACUGUUACGGUUCUGGUCAACGUUAGUCAAACGUCAUGUUCGGGUCAACAGGUCAAUGCCCGGUCAACACGAAGGACCCGGAAUACUAUAGUUGCACGCUAGCUAAGUCACGUCCUUGGAACGACGCUUCGGAAUCACGCUAGGCUAGCUUUGCACAGGAAUAUCCAGGUUGCAUUUUCAAAACUAUGGAACGGUUGGAAUAGGAGAACCCAUGGGAAUUCGAAUACUUAGCGGCGUUCAUUUUCUAGAAGUCUUAGCUUAUUUGUUUCCGCUGUGCAAUGAAGAUACCGGUCCAGUCACGCCAGCUCUGAUAAUUUCGGGGUGUGACAUUAAAGAUGGGGAAGUUUGUCGUUUGAAAAAAUCUCUAUGCGGGCUAAAACAGUCACCUCAGGCCUGGUUUGGAAAGUUCACCUCGGCCAUGAAAGAAUACGGGUAUUACCAAAGUAACGCUGAUCAUACCCUAUUCCUUAAAAGAAGAAACGACCUCGUAACUUGCCUGAUCAUAUAUGUAGACGACAUGAUUAUCACCAGAAAUGACGUGGAAGAGAUAGCACGACUGGAAAAGAAUUUGUUUUCAAAGUUUGAAAUGAAAGACCUUGGGAAUCUCAAGUAUUUCCUCGGAAUAGAAGUUCUCGGGUCUAAACGGGGGAUUUUCAUCUGCCAAAAGAAGUAUGUCCUUGACCUCCUAGUGGAAACUGGUUUGAUUGAUUGUAAACUCGCAGAUACGCCAAUGGUGGUGAACCACAAUCUUCACAUGGAACUUAAUGGCGAGCUUGCAGACAAAGAAAGGUAUCAACGGCUCGUGGGCAAGUUAAUUUAUCUCUCUCACACUCGCCCUGAUAUAGCUUAUGCUGUUGGAGUGGUAAGUCAGUUUAUGCACCAACCGCAAGUUGAUCACAUGGAAGCUUCUCAGAGAAUUCUAAGGUAUCUAAAGGGAACCGCAGACCAUGGAGUGUUGUUCAAAGCAAAUGGACAUUUAAAUGUUGAGCUCUACACUGACGCCGAAUAGGCAGGAGAUAAGGGAAAUCGAAGGUCAACAUCAGGGUACUUCUCCUUGGUUGGUGGAAACCUUGUUACCUGGAGGAGUAAGAAACAGAAGGUGGUCGCUCUGUCGAGUGUAGAAGUAGAGUUCAGAGGCGUAACUCGAGGGUUAAGCGAAGUUCUUUGGAUCAGGAAACUUCUAGAAGACAUUGGUUUCUUCCAAAGGGCAGAACCUAGUAAAAUUAUGUGCGACAAUACAACUGCAAUACAAAUCUCAGAAAAUCCAGUUCAGCAUGAUCGAACAAAACACGUGGAGGUAGAUCGACAUUGCAUCAAGGAAAAACUGGAGGAAAGGAUCAUAGAUCUCCCGUAUAUAUCAUCAAAAGAUCAACUCGCAAAUAUUCUCACAAAAGCAAUCAACGGAAACGCUUUCAGUAGCUGUUUGAGCAAGUUAAGUAUUGGAGAUCCCACUACUCAACUUGAGGGGGAGUGUCGGAAAGAAGCAAACAAAUAGUAUAGGGGCUAGUGUGUAAUAUGGUGGUCUAUAUAAACACCAUCUUUGUGUAAUAGGAUUGUACAAUACAAUUUUUCAAUACAAUUCAAACCCAAAUAUGAGAUUAUUCUAUAUACCAAA
Helianthus annuus (common sunflower) is the source of this 2538-nucleotide long non-coding RNA. RefSeq lists it as uncharacterized. The transcript has 4 exons. NCBI's taxonomy places the organism in Eukaryota, Viridiplantae, Streptophyta, Magnoliopsida, Asterales, Asteraceae. The record is from RefSeq and is a predicted model, not a curated record.